CGGACGGGUGAGUAAUGUCUGGGAAACUGCCUGAUGGAGGGGGAUAACUACUGGAAACGGUAGCUAAUACCGCAUAACGUCGCAAGACCAAAGAGGGGGACCUUAGGGCCUCUUGCCAUCGGAUGUGCCCAGAUGGGAUUAGCUAGUAGGUGGGGUAACGGCUCACCUAGGCGACGACCCCUAGCUGGUCUGAGAGGAUGACCAGCCACACUGGAACUGAGACACGGUCCAG
Molecule: ribosomal RNA, 232 nt
Filed under: uncultured bacterium
Lineage: Bacteria
Description: partial 16S ribosomal RNA
Rfam family: Bacterial small subunit ribosomal RNA
Source: RNAcentral